UACAGAGGUCCCAAGCGUUGUUCGGAUUCACUGGGCGUAAAGGGUGCGUAGGUGGUCAGGUAAGUCUGAUGUGAAAGCUCUGGGCUCAACCCAGAAAUGGCAUUGGAUACUAUCUGGCUAGAGGAAUGGAGGGGGGGACUGGAAUACUUGGUGUAGCAGUGAAAUGCGCAGAUAUCAGGAGGAACACCGGUGGCGAAGGCGGGUCUCUGGGCAGUAACUGACGCUGGAGGAGCGAAAGCGUGGGGAGCGAACAGG
RNAcentral lists this ribosomal RNA (255 nucleotides) under uncultured bacterium. RNAcentral's name for it is "partial 16S ribosomal RNA". It matches the Rfam family "Bacterial small subunit ribosomal RNA", at positions 524 to 776 of the family's 1533-position model. The record is from RNAcentral.